UACGGGGGGGGUAAGCGUUGUUCGGAAUUACUGGGCGUAAAGGGCGCGUAGGUGGCCAACUAAGUCAGACGUGAAAUCCCUCGGCUUAACCGGGGAACUGCGUCUGAUACUGGAUGGCUUGAGUUUGGGAGAGGGACGCGGAAUUCCAGGUGUAGCGGUGAAAUGCGUAGAUAUCUGGAGGAACACCGGUGGCGAAGGCGGCGUCCUGGACCAAUACUGACACUGAAACGCGAAAGCCAGGGGAGCAAACGGG
This 253-nucleotide ribosomal RNA is filed under the name uncultured bacterium. Its description in RNAcentral is "partial 16S ribosomal RNA". It matches the Rfam family "Bacterial small subunit ribosomal RNA", at positions 524 to 776 of the family's 1533-position model. The record is from RNAcentral.